This 139-nucleotide non-coding RNA is filed under the name Clostridium puniceum. The record is from RNAcentral. Lineage: Bacteria; Bacillati; Bacillota; Clostridia; Eubacteriales; Clostridiaceae.
GAUAAUUUAAUAUCCAUUGGUGCCAGCAAAUAUUUGUUAAGGGCAACGGGAAAUGGGUGAGAAUCCCAUACGGUCACGCCACUGUGAAAGGUAGAACAAGCUGCCAAGUCAGGAGACCAACCAAUGUGAUAAGUUGUUA